UAAGGAAUAUUGGACAAUGGAGGCAACUCUGAUCCAGCCAUGCCGCGUGAAGGAAUAAGGCCCUAUGGGUUGUAAACUUCUUUUAGACGGGACAAAACCCCUUUACGUGUAAAGGGUUGAUGGUACUGUCAGAAUAAGCAUCGGCUAACUUCGUGCCAGCAGCCGCGGUAAUACGAAGGAUGCAAGCGUUACCCGGAAUUAUUGGGUUUAAAGGGUGCGUAGGCGGACUAAUAAGUCAGUGGUGAAAGCCUGCAGCUUAACUGCAGAAUUGCCAUUGAUACUGUUAGUCUUGAGUACAGUUGAGGUAGGCGGAAUGUGUCAUGUAGCGGUGAAAUGCGUAGAUAUGACACAGAACACCGAUUGCGAAGGCAGCUUGCUAAGCUGUAACUGACGCUGAGGCACGAAAGCGUGGGGAGCAAACA
Molecule: ribosomal RNA, 422 nt
Filed under: uncultured bacterium
Lineage: Bacteria
Description: bacterial SSU rRNA
Rfam family: Bacterial small subunit ribosomal RNA
Source: RNAcentral